Molecule: ribosomal RNA, 437 nt
Filed under: uncultured Oscillospiraceae bacterium
Lineage: Bacteria; Bacillati; Bacillota; Clostridia; Eubacteriales; Oscillospiraceae
Description: bacterial SSU rRNA
Rfam family: Bacterial small subunit ribosomal RNA
Source: RNAcentral
ACGGAAGGCAGCAGUGGGGAAUAUUGGGCAAUGGGCGAAAGCCUGACCCAGCAACGCCGCGUGAAGGAAGAAGGCCUUCGGGUUGUAAACUUCUUUUAGCAGGGACGAAGGACGUGACGGUACCUGCAGAAAAAGCAACGGCUAACUACGUGCCAGCAGCCGCGGUAAUACGUAGGUUGCAAGCGUUGUCCGGAUUUACUGGGUGUAAAGGGCGUGUAGGCGGAGCUGCAAGUCAGAUGUGAAAUCCAUGGGCUCAACCCAUGAAUUGCAUUUGAAAUUGUAGCCCUUGAGUAUCGGAGAGGCAAGCGGAAUUCCUAGUGUAGCGGUGAAAUGCGUAGAUAUUAGGAGGAACACCAGUGGCGAAGGCGGCUUGCUGGACGACAACUGACGCUGAGGCGCGAAAGCGUGGGGAGCAAACAGGAUUAGAUACCCUGGUA